RNAcentral lists this ribosomal RNA (303 nucleotides) under uncultured bacterium. RNAcentral describes it as "partial 16S ribosomal RNA". It matches the Rfam family "Bacterial small subunit ribosomal RNA", at positions 510 to 808 of the family's 1533-position model. The record is from RNAcentral.
AGCACAGCCGCGGUAAUACGUAGGGUGCAAGCGUUGUCCGGAAUUAUUGGGCGUAAAGAGCUCGUAGGCGGUUUGUCGCGUCUGCUGUGAAAUCCCGAGGCUCAACCUCGGGCUUGCAGUGGGUACGGGCAGACUUGAGUGCGGUAGGGGAGAUUGGAAUUCCUGGUGUAGCGGUGGAAUGCGCAGAUAUCAGGAGGAACACCGAUGGCGAAGGCAGAUCUCUGGGCCGUAACUGACGCUGAGGAGCGAAAGCGUGGGGAGCGAACAGGAUUAGAUACCCCCGUAGUCCCUGUCUCUUAUACA